GAUGAACGCUGACAGAAUGCUUAACACAUGCAAGUCAACUUGAACUUCGGUUUGGGUGGCGGACGGGUGAGUAACGCGUAAAGAACUUGCCUCACAGAUAGGGACAACAUUUGGAAACGAAUGCUAAUACCUGAUAUUAUGAUUAUAUGGCAUCGUAUAAUUAUGAAAGCUAUAUGCGCUGUGAGAGAGCUUUGCGUCCCAUUAGCUAGUUGGAGAGGUAACGGCUCACCAAGGCGAUGAUGGGUAGCCGGCCUGAGAGGGUGAUCGGCCACAAGGGGACUGAGGCACGGCCCUUACUCCUACGGGAGGCAGCAGUGGGGAAUAUUGGACAAUGGACCAAGAGUCUGAUCCAGCAAUUCUGUGUGCACGAUGAAGUUUUUCGGAAUGUAAAGUGCUUUCAGUUGGGAAGAAAAAAAUGACGGUACCAACAGAAGAAGUGACGGCUAAAUACGUG
Molecule: ribosomal RNA, 454 nt
Filed under: uncultured bacterium
Lineage: Bacteria
Description: partial 16S ribosomal RNA
Rfam family: Bacterial small subunit ribosomal RNA
Source: RNAcentral